AGAGUUUGAUCCUGGCUCAGGGUUAACGCUGGCGGCGUGCCUAACACAUGCAAGUCGAACGGUUCUAAGCGCGAGCUUAGGAUAGUGGCGAACGGGUGAGUAAAAGGUAGGAAUCUACCCCUUGGACGGAGAUAGCUACUGGAAACGGUAGGUAAACUUCGAUAAGCCCGAGAGGGGAAAGUGGUGAGACAGCCGAGGGAUGAGCCUACUCUCCAUCAGGUAGUUGGUGAGAUAAAAGCUUACCAAGCCGAUGACGGAUAACCGGUGUGAGAGCAUGAACGGUCACAAGGGCACUGAGAGACGGGCCCUACUCCUACGGGAGGCAGCAGUGGGGAAUCUUGGACAAUGGGCGAAAGCCUGAUCCAGCGACGCCGCGUGGAGGAAGAAGUCCUUCGGGAUGUAAACUUCUGAACUAGCCGAAUAAAAGGCCUGUGGACACACAGGAGAAGAAAGUAGGCUAGGAAAAGUCCCGGCUAACUACGUGCCAGCAGCCGCGGUAAGACGUAGGGGGCAAGCGUUACCCGGAAUUACUGGGCGUAAAGGGGGCGUAGGCGGUAAAAGAAGUCAUCUGUGAAAACCUAUUGCUCAACGAUAGGCUAGCGGAUGAAACUGAAUUACUUGAGGGCACCAGAGGUAGACGGAAUUACCCGAGUAGGGGUGAAAUCCGCAGAUACGGGUAGGAACGCCGGUGGAGAAGUCGGUCUACUGGGGUGCACCAGACGCUGAGGCCCGAAAGCUAGGGGAGCAAACCGGAUUAGAUACCCGGGUAGUCCUAGCCGUAAACGAUGCUCACUAGGUGUAGGGAGUGAUAAACUCUCUGUGCUGAAGCGAACGCGCUAAGUGAGCCGCCUGGGGAGUACGUCCGCAAGGAUGAAACUCAAAUGAAUUGACGG
This 893-nucleotide ribosomal RNA is filed under the name uncultured bacterium. RNAcentral describes it as "bacterial SSU rRNA". It matches the Rfam family "Bacterial small subunit ribosomal RNA", at positions 8 to 916 of the family's 1533-position model. The record is from RNAcentral.